This 423-nucleotide ribosomal RNA is filed under the name uncultured bacterium. RNAcentral's name for it is "bacterial SSU rRNA". It matches the Rfam family "Bacterial small subunit ribosomal RNA", at positions 207 to 622 of the family's 1533-position model. The record is from RNAcentral.
AAGACCUUGCGCUUUUGGAGCGGCCGAUGUCUGAUUAGCUAGUUGGUGAGGUAAAGGCUUACCAAGGCUUCGAUCAGUAGCUGGUCUGAGAGGACGACCAGCCACACUGGGACUGAGACACGGCCCAGACUCCUACGGGAGGCAGCAGUGGGGAAUUUUGGACAAUGGGGGCAACCCUGAUCCAGCCAUGCCGCGUGAGUGAAGAAGGCCUUCGGGUUGUAAAGCUCCUUCAGCCGGAACGAAAAGGUUACGGUUAAUACCCGUGACUAAUGACGGUACCGGAAGAAGAAGCACCGGCUAACUACGUGCCAGCAGCCGCGGUAAUACGUAGGGUGCGAGCGUUAAUCGGAAUUACUGGGCGUAAAGCGUGCGCAGGCGGUUUUGUAAGUCAGAUGUGAAAUCCCCGGGCUUAACCUGGGAACU